AGUGAACGCUGGCGGUAGGCCUAACACAUGCAAGUCGAACGGCAGCACAGUAAGAGCUUGCUCUUACGGGUGGCGAGUGGCGGACGGGUGAGGAGUACAUCGGAAUCUACUUUUUCGUGGGGGAUAACGUAGGGAAACUUACGCUAAUACCGCAUACGACCUACGGGUGAAAGCAGGGGAUCUUCGGACCUUGCGCGAUUGAAUGAGCCGAUGUCGGAUUAGCUAGUUGGCGGGGUAAAGGCCCACCAAGGCGACGAUCCGUAGCUGGUCUGAGAGGAUGAUCAGCCACACUGGGACUGAGACACGGUCCAGACGCAUACGGGAGGCAGCAGUGGGGAAUAUUGGACAAUGGGCGCAAGCCUGAUCCAGCCAUACCGCGUGGGUGAAGAAGGCCUUCGGGUUGUAAAGCCCUUUUGUUGGGAAAGAAAAGCAGCAGGUUAAUACCCCGCUGUUCUGACGGUACCCAAAGAAUAAGCACCGGCUAACUUCGU
Molecule: ribosomal RNA, 491 nt
Filed under: uncultured bacterium
Lineage: Bacteria
Description: partial 16S ribosomal RNA
Rfam family: Bacterial small subunit ribosomal RNA
Source: RNAcentral